GAUGAACGCUGGCGGCGUGCCUAAUACAUGCAAGUCGAGCGAACAGACGAGGAGCUUGCUCCUCUGACGUUAGCGGCGGACGGGUGAGUAACACGUGGAUAACCUACCUAUAAGACUGGGAUAACUUCGGGAAACCGGAGCUAAUACCGGAUAACAUGUUGAACCGCAUGGUUCAACAGUGAAAGACGGUCUUGCUGUCACUUAUAGAUGGAUCCGCGCCGCAUUAGCUAGUUGGUAAGGUAACGGCUUACCAAGGCAACGAUGCGUAGCCGACCUGAGAGGGUGAUCGGCCACACUGGAACUGAGACACGGUCCAGACUCCUACGGGAGGCAGCAGUAGGGAAUCUUCCGCAAUGGGCGAAAGCCUGACGGAGCAACGCCGCGUGAGGGAAGAAGGUCUUCGGAUCGUAAAACUCUGUUAUUAGGGAAGAACAAAUGUGUAAGUAACUAUGCACGUCUUGACGGUACCUAAUCAGAAAGCCACGGCUAACUACGUG
RNAcentral lists this ribosomal RNA (497 nucleotides) under uncultured bacterium. Its description in RNAcentral is "partial 16S ribosomal RNA". It matches the Rfam family "Bacterial small subunit ribosomal RNA", at positions 28 to 507 of the family's 1533-position model. The record is from RNAcentral.